GAUGAACGCUGGCGGCGUGCCUAAUACAUGCAAGUCGAACGAAGAUCUAGCUUGCUAGAUCUUAGUGGCGAACGGGUGAGUAAUACAUAAAUAAUCUGCCCAUAUGACUGGGAUAACUAUUGGAAACGAUAGCUAAUACCGGAUAGGUUGAUCGGAGGCAUCUCUGAUGAAUUAAAGUAGGAUUUCUACACAAAUGGAUGAGUUUAUGGCGCAUUAGUUAGUUGGUGGGGUAACGGCCUACCAAGACGAUGAGGCGUAGCGGACCUGAGAGGGUGACCGGCCACACUGGGACUGAGACACGGCCCAGACCCCUACGGGAGGCAGCAGUAGGGAAUUUUCGGCAAUGGGCGCAAGCCUGACCGAGCAACGCCGCGUGAGUGAUUAAGGCCUUCGGGUUGUAAAGCUCUGUUGUAAGGGAAGAACAUUCAGGAUAGGAAAUGAUCUUGAACUGACGGUACCUUACCAGAAAGCCACGGCUAACUACGUGCCAGCAGCCGCGGUAA
This 503-nucleotide ribosomal RNA is filed under the name uncultured bacterium. RNAcentral's name for it is "partial 16S ribosomal RNA". It matches the Rfam family "Bacterial small subunit ribosomal RNA", at positions 28 to 523 of the family's 1533-position model. The record is from RNAcentral.